This 105-nucleotide ribosomal RNA is filed under the name Lepisosteus oculatus (spotted gar). Lineage: Eukaryota; Metazoa; Chordata; Actinopteri; Semionotiformes; Lepisosteidae. The record is from RNAcentral.
GCCAGCAGCCAUAUCACUCUGCAACUCACAACUGGCUAAGCAGGUGUGAGCCUGGUCAGUACCUGGUUGGGAGACACCUGGGAAAAACUAAGGUUGCUGCUGGAA